Molecule: ribosomal RNA, 453 nt
Filed under: uncultured bacterium
Lineage: Bacteria
Description: bacterial SSU rRNA
Rfam family: Bacterial small subunit ribosomal RNA
Source: RNAcentral
AGCGAACGCUGGCGGCAGGCUUAACACAUGCAAGUCGAACGCUCGUAGCAAUACGGGAGUGGCGGACGGGUGAGUAACGCGUGGGAACGUGCCCUGAGGUACGGAAUAACUGAGGGAAACUUCAGCUAAUACCGUAUGAGCCCCGAGAGGGGGAAAGAUUUAUCGCCUUGGGAGCGGCCCGCGUCGGAUUAGCUAGUUGGUGGGGUAACGGCCUACCAAGGCUUCGAUCCGUAGCUGGUCUGAGAGGACGAUCAGCCACACUGGGACUGAGACACGGCCCAGACUCCUACGGGAGGCAGCAGUGGGGAAUCUUGCGCAAUGGGGGCAACCCUGACGCAGCCAUGCCGCGUGAACGAUGAAGGCCUUAGGGUUGUAAAGUUCUUUUACCCGUGACGAUGAUGACGGUAACGGGGAAUAAGCUCCGGCUAACUUCGUGCCAGCAGCCGCGGUAAU